GGGGGCGUGGCUCAGUGGAAAAGCCCCUGCCUACCAUGCUUAGGGUUCUGGGUUCCAUCCCCAGCAUUUUCA
RNAcentral lists this transfer RNA (72 nucleotides) under Mus musculus (house mouse). Its description in RNAcentral is "tRNA-Gly". The record is from RNAcentral. Lineage: Eukaryota; Metazoa; Chordata; Mammalia; Rodentia; Muridae.